Molecule: long non-coding RNA, 412 nt
Organism: Ochotona princeps (American pika)
Lineage: Eukaryota; Metazoa; Chordata; Mammalia; Lagomorpha; Ochotonidae
Exons: 2
Source: RefSeq, a predicted model, not a curated record
UCCUUCCUGCUCCUGUCUCUUUCUCUGUCACUCUGCCAGCCAAAUAAGCAAGUCUUUAAAAACAAACAAAUAAACAGCAGGACAAAGCAUGACUGCCAAUCCCAGACCAGCCACAAGUGACCAGGCCAGCAAACACAGGACAAGCCGGAAAGCUCUUAAGCCCUUAGAAAUGAACAAGGAAAGGAGGCAUUACAACACCAUUUCUGAUGUGGAAGUGCAGGCUGGACAGGCAGUACACCAGGGCUGAAGAUUCAUGGGGCACCGUGAAGUUCAAUGGGUAGCCCUGGGGUUCAGGGGCUGCUCUUAUCUCAACAGACCUCCCUGAUUUAAGAAGACAGUUGCAGAGGAACUGUGCAUCUAGUUUGCUUCUAGAUCAUUUUUGCUUUAAAAAAAAAAGUCUUGCUGGUUCUAA